Molecule: ribosomal RNA, 301 nt
Filed under: uncultured bacterium
Lineage: Bacteria
Description: partial 16S ribosomal RNA
Rfam family: Bacterial small subunit ribosomal RNA
Source: RNAcentral
CAGCCGCCGCGGUAACACGUAGGUCCCGAGCGUUGUCCGGAUUUAUUGGGCGUAAAGCGAGCGCAGGCGGUUAGAUAAGUCUGAAGUUAAAGGCUGUGGCUUAACCAUAGUACGCUUUGGAAACUGUUUAACUUGAGUGCAAGAGGGGAGAGUGGAAUUCCAUGUGUAGCGGUGAAAUGCGUAGAUAUAUGGAGGAACACCGGUGGCGAAAGCGGCUCUCUGGCUUGUAACUGACGCUGAGGCUCGAAAGCGUGGGGAGCAAACAGGAUUAGAUACCCGAGUAGUCCCUGUCUCUUAUACA